Desmophyllum pertusum is the source of this 69-nucleotide non-coding RNA. NCBI's taxonomy places the organism in Eukaryota, Metazoa, Cnidaria, Anthozoa, Scleractinia, Caryophylliidae. The record is from the annotation of a GenBank genome assembly.
UCUCUGUAGCUCAGUGGUAGAGCGUCCGACCGGUAUGCAUGCGUGUAGGUUCGACUUCUGUUGGGAGAA